RNAcentral lists this ribosomal RNA (487 nucleotides) under Carsula yunnana. Its description in RNAcentral is "partial 16S ribosomal RNA". It matches the Rfam family "Archaeal large subunit ribosomal RNA", at positions 1897 to 2647 of the family's 2987-position model. The record is from RNAcentral. Lineage: Eukaryota; Metazoa; Arthropoda; Insecta; Orthoptera; Acrididae.
UAACAAAAACAUGUCUUCUUGAUUAUAAUUUGAGGUUUGACCUGCUCAAUGAAUUAUUAAAUAGCCGCGGUAUUUUGACCGUGCAAAGGUAGCAUAAUCAUUAGUCUUUUAAUUAAGGGCUGGAAUGAAUGGUUUGACGAGAGAUUAUCUGUCUCUUAAUAAUUUUUGAAUUUAACUUUUGAGUUAAAAGGCUUAAAUUUUUUUUUAGGACGAGAAGACCCUAUAGAGCUUGACAUUUAAAUUUUAUAUUUGUUUAUUUUUAUUUAUUUAAUGAUAGUGUUUUGUUGGGGUGACAUGAGAAAUUAAUAAACUUUUCAUUAUUAAAUCAUUCAUUUAUGUUUAUUUGAUCCAUAAUUUAUGAUCAAAAGAUUAAGUUACCUUAGGGAUAACAGCGUAAUUGUUUUUGAGAGUUCUUAUUGACAAAGCAGAUUGCGACCUCGAUGUUGGAUUAAGAAAAAUUUUGGGUGUAGUAGUCAAAAAUUAGGUC